RNAcentral lists this ribosomal RNA (252 nucleotides) under uncultured bacterium. RNAcentral's name for it is "partial 16S ribosomal RNA". It matches the Rfam family "Bacterial small subunit ribosomal RNA", at positions 525 to 776 of the family's 1533-position model. The record is from RNAcentral.
ACGGAGGGUGCGAGCGUUAAUCGGAAUUACUGGGCGUAAAGCGCGCGUAGGUGGUAAGGUCAGUCGGAUGUGAAAGCCCCGGGCUUAACCUGGGAACUGCAUUCGAUACUGCCUUGCUAGAGUAUGGUAGAGGGAAGUGGAAUUCCGGGUGUAGCGGUGAAAUGCGUAGAUAUCCGGAGGAACACCAGUGGCGAAGGCGACUUCCUGGACCAAUACUGACGCUGAGGUGCGAAAGCGUGGGGAGCAAACAGG